RNAcentral lists this ribosomal RNA (446 nucleotides) under uncultured bacterium. Its description in RNAcentral is "bacterial SSU rRNA". It matches the Rfam family "Bacterial small subunit ribosomal RNA", at positions 329 to 792 of the family's 1533-position model. The record is from RNAcentral.
GCCCAGACUCCUACGGGAGGCAGCAGUGGGGACUAUUGCACAAUGGGGGAAACCCUGAUGCAGCGACGCCGCGUGAGUGAAGAAGUAUUUCGGUAUGUAAAGCUCUAUCAGCAGGGAAGAAAAUGACGGUACCUGACCAAGAAGCCCCGGCUAACUACGUGCCAGCAGCCGCGGCAAUACGUAGGGGGCGAGCGUUAUCCGGAUUCACUGGGUGUAAAGGGAGCGUAGACGGCCAAGCAAGCCAGGGGUGAAAGCCCGGGGCCCAACCCCGGGACUGCCCUUGGAACUGCACGGCUGGAGUGCGGGAGGGGCAGGCGGAAUUCCUGGUGUAGCGGUGAAAUGCGUAGAUAUCAGGAGGAACACCGGCGGCGAAGGCGGCCUGCUGGACCGCGACUGACGUUGAGGCUCGAAAGCGUGGGGAGCGAGCAGGAUUAGAUACCCGAGUA